GAGUUUGAUCCUGGCUCAGGAUGAACGCUAGCGGCAGGCCUAACACAUGCAAGUUCGAACGGUAACAUGAGAGCUUGCUCUUGAUGACGAGUGGCGCACGGGUGCGUAACGCGUAUACAAUCUACCUUUUACAGAGGGAUAGCCCAGAGAAAUUUGGAUUAAUACCUUAUAGUAUUGUUUUAUGGCAUCGUAAAACAAUUAAAGAUUUAUCGGUAAAAGAUGAGUAUGCGUUCUAUUAGUUAGUUGGAGUGGUAACGGCACCCCAAGACAGCGAUAGAUAGGGGCCCUGAGAGGGGGAUCCCCCACACUGGUACUGAGACACGGACCAGACUCCUACGGGAGGCAGCAGUGAGGAAUAUUGGACAAUGGAGGCAACUCUGAUCCAGCCAUGCCGCGUGCAGGAAGACUGCCCUAUGGGUUGUAAACUGCUUUUAUACAGGAAGAAACCGCUCUACGUGUAGAGCUCUGACGGUACUGUAAGAAUAAGGAUCGGCUAACUCCGUGCCAGCAGCCGCGGUAAUACGGAGGAUCCAAGCGUUAUCCGGAAUCAUUGGGUUUAAAGGGUCCGUAGGUGGAUAAUUAAGUCAGAGGUGAAAGUUUGCAGCUCAACUGUAAAAUUGCCUUUGAUACUGGUUAUCUUGAGUUAUUAUGAAGUAGUUAGAAUAUGUAGUGUAGCGGUGAAAUGCAUAGAUAUUACAUAGAAUACCNAUUGCGAANGCAGAUUACUAAUAAUCAACUGACACUGAUGGACGAAAGCGUG
This 760-nucleotide ribosomal RNA is filed under the name uncultured bacterium. RNAcentral describes it as "bacterial SSU rRNA". It matches the Rfam family "Bacterial small subunit ribosomal RNA", at positions 9 to 763 of the family's 1533-position model. The record is from RNAcentral.